AACGUAGGACGCAAGCGUUAUCCGGAGUUACUGGGCGUAAAGCGCGGGCAGGCGGUCGGUCAAGUCUGAUGCGAAAUCUCUCCGCUCAACGGGGAGCAGCCAUUGGAAACUGGGCGACUGGAGUCUGACAGAGGUAGGCGGAAUUCCGGGUGGAGUGGUGAAAUGCGUAGAGAUCCGGAGGAACACCAGAGGCGAAGGCGGCCUACUGGGUCAGUACUGACGCUGAGCCGCGAAAGCCAGGGGAGCGAACGGG
This 253-nucleotide ribosomal RNA is filed under the name uncultured bacterium. RNAcentral's name for it is "partial 16S ribosomal RNA". It matches the Rfam family "Bacterial small subunit ribosomal RNA", at positions 524 to 776 of the family's 1533-position model. The record is from RNAcentral.